GGCUAAUUUUUUGCGUAUUUAGUAGAGACGGGGUUUUGCCAUGUUGACCAGGCUGGUCUCGAACUCCUGACCUCAGAUGAUCCGUCCACCUCGGCCUCCCAAAAUGCUGGGAUUACAGGCAUGAGCCACUGUGCCCAGCCGAGAUACCUCGAUGCAGGCAUACACUGCAUAAAAAUUACAUCAGGGUAAACAGGGUAUCCACCACCUCAAGCAUUUAUCCUUUAUGCUACAAACGAGCCAAUUAUACUUUUAGUUAUUUUCAAUGUAC
Molecule: long non-coding RNA, 268 nt
Filed under: Homo sapiens (human)
Lineage: Eukaryota; Metazoa; Chordata; Mammalia; Primates; Hominidae
Description: non-protein coding lnc-CUL1-4:1
Source: RNAcentral